This 507-nucleotide ribosomal RNA is filed under the name uncultured bacterium. Its description in RNAcentral is "bacterial SSU rRNA". It matches the Rfam family "Bacterial small subunit ribosomal RNA", at positions 21 to 518 of the family's 1533-position model. The record is from RNAcentral.
GGCUCAGAACGAACGCUGGCGGCGCGUUUAAGCAUGCAAGUCGAGCGGCAAGGGCCUUCGGGCCCCUAGAGCGGCGGACGGGUGAGUAACACGUGGACAAUCUGCCCCCCGGCCCGGGAUAGCCCAGGGAAACCUGGAUUAAUACCGGAUGAGACGGGACCCGCGAUGGCGGGACCCGGGAAAGGCGCUGCGGCGCCGCCGGGGGAUGAGUCUGCGUCCCAUUAGCUAGACGGCGGGGUAACGGCCCACCGUGGCGACGAUGGGUAGCCGGCCUGAGAGGGUGGACGGCCACAUUGGAACUGAGACACGGUCCAGACUCCUACGGGAGGCAGCAGCUAAGAAUCUUCCGCAAUGGGCGAAAGCCUGACGGAGCCGACGCCGCGUGAACGAAGAAGGCCGUGAGGUUGUAAAGUUCUUUUCGGGAGGGGGAACAACCGUGGCAGGGAAUGGCCGCGGGAUGACGUGAAUCCCGGAAUAAGCCCCGGCUAACUACGUGCCAGCAGCGGC